GUCUCAGACACCCUGAACAGGCCUGAUCUUGUCUGAAUUUGGAAGCUAAGCAGGGUUGUGUCUGGUUAGUACUUUGAUGGGAGAUCACCUGGGAAUAUCGGGUACCAUAGGCU
Cercocebus atys (sooty mangabey) is the source of this 113-nucleotide ribosomal RNA. NCBI's taxonomy places the organism in Eukaryota, Metazoa, Chordata, Mammalia, Primates, Cercopithecidae. The record is from Ensembl.